RNAcentral lists this ribosomal RNA (253 nucleotides) under uncultured bacterium. RNAcentral's name for it is "partial 16S ribosomal RNA". It matches the Rfam family "Bacterial small subunit ribosomal RNA", at positions 524 to 776 of the family's 1533-position model. The record is from RNAcentral.
UACGUAGGGUGCAAGCGUUAAUCGGAAUUACUGGGCGUAAAGCGCGCGUAGGCGGCUUUGCAAGUCGGGUGUGAAAUCCCCAGGCUUAACCUGGGAACUGCACUCGAGACUGCAUUGCUAGAGUAUGGGAGAGGGAAGUGGAAUUUCCGGUGUAGCGGUGAAAUGCGUAGAUAUCGGAAGGAACAUCAGUGGCGAAAGCGACUUCCUGGACCAAUACUGACGCUCAUGUGCGAAAGCGUGGGGAGCAAACAGG